GUGCAUUGCAGUUGCAUUGCA
RNAcentral lists this non-coding RNA (21 nucleotides) under Ixodes scapularis (black-legged tick). The record is from RNAcentral. RNAcentral also lists the same sequence under 1 other name. Lineage: Eukaryota; Metazoa; Arthropoda; Arachnida; Ixodida; Ixodidae.